Molecule: ribosomal RNA, 375 nt
Filed under: uncultured bacterium
Lineage: Bacteria
Description: bacterial SSU rRNA
Rfam family: Bacterial small subunit ribosomal RNA
Source: RNAcentral
UAAUACGAGAGGCCCAAACGUUAUUCGGAUUUACUGGGCUUAAAGAGUUCGUAGGCGGUCUAGAAAGUUGGGUGUGAAAGCCCUCGGCUCAACCGAGGAACUGCGCUCAAAACUACUAGACUUGAGGGAGAUAGAGGUGAGCGGAACUGAUGGUGGAGCGGUGAAAUGCGUUGAUAUCAUCAGGAACACCGGAGGCGAAGGCGGCUCACUGGGUCUCUACUGACGCUGAGGAACGAAAGCUAGGGGAGCAAACGGGAUUAGAUACCCCGGUAGUCCUAGCCGUAAACGCUGAGUACUGGACCGGAGCCCUGCACAGGGUUUCGGUCGUAGCGAAAGUGUUAAGUACUCCGCCUGGGGAGUAUGGUCGCAAGGCUG